RNAcentral lists this ribosomal RNA (637 nucleotides) under uncultured bacterium. RNAcentral describes it as "bacterial SSU rRNA". It matches the Rfam family "Bacterial small subunit ribosomal RNA", at positions 8 to 655 of the family's 1533-position model. The record is from RNAcentral.
AGAGUUUGAUCCUGGCUCAGAACGAACGCUGGCGGCGUGCCUAACACAUGCAAGUCGAACGAGAAAGUUUCCUUCGGGGAACUGGUAAAGUGGCGCAAGGGUGAGUAACACGUGAAUAAUCUGCCUACGAAUUCGGGAUAACCCGACGAAAGUUGUGCUAAUACCGGAUAAGACCACACUCCUUAUGGAGCGUGGCCAAAGGAGCCUCAAGCUCCGUUUGUAGAUGAGUUCGCGGACCAUUAGCUUGUUGGCGGGAUAACAGCCCACCAAGGCGACGAUGGUUAGCCGGCCUGAGAGGGUGAUCGGCCACACUGGAACUGAGACACGGUCCAGACUCCUACGGGAGGCAGCAGUGGGGAAUAUUGCGCAAUGGGCGGAAGCCUGACGCAGCAACGCCGUGUGAGGGAUGAAGGCUUUUGAGUCGUAAACCUCUGUCAGAUGGGAAGAAUUAUGACGGUACCAUCAGAGGAAGCCCCGGCUAACUCCGUGCCAGCAGCCGCGGUAAUACGGAGGGGGCAAGCGUUGUUCGGAAUUAUUGGGCGUAAAGAGUAUGUAGGCGGCUGGGUAAGUCAGGCGUGCAAGCCCACGGCUCAACCGUGGAAUUGCGUCUGAAACUAUUCGGCUUGAGUGCAGGAGA